GUGCCAGCAGCCGCGGUAAUACGUAGGGGGCGAGCGUUAUCCGGAUUUACUGGGCGUAAAGCGGGCGUAGGUGGCCUGUCAAGUCGGAUGUGAAAUCUCCCGGCUCAACUGGGAGGGUGCAUUCGAAACUGAUGGGCUAGAGUGCAGCAGAGGGAGAUGGAAUUCCCGGUGUAGUGGUGAAAUGCGUAGAUAUCGGGAAGAACACUAGUGGCGAAGGCGGUCUCCUGGGAUGUAACUGACACUGAGGCCCGAAGGCGUGGGGAGCAAACAGGAUUAGAUACCCUGGUAGUCCACGCAGUAAACGAUGGAUACUAGGUAUGGGGAGUAUCGACCCUCUCCGUGCCGAAGCUAACGCUUUAAGUAUCCCGCCUGGGGAGUACGGUCGCAAGACUAAAACUCAAAUGAAUUGACGGGG
Molecule: ribosomal RNA, 415 nt
Filed under: uncultured prokaryote
Description: bacterial SSU rRNA
Rfam family: Bacterial small subunit ribosomal RNA
Source: RNAcentral